RNAcentral lists this ribosomal RNA (528 nucleotides) under Phoma sp. 1110_13. RNAcentral describes it as "eukaryotic LSU rRNA". The stretch from base 115 to 268 matches the Rfam family "5.8S ribosomal RNA". Lineage: Eukaryota; Fungi; Ascomycota; Dothideomycetes; Pleosporales; Didymellaceae. The record is from RNAcentral.
UCUCUUACCCAUGUCUUUUGAGUACCUUACGUUUCCUCGGCGGGUCCGCCCGCCGACUGGACAAUUUAAACCACUUGCAGUUGCAAUCAGCGUCUGAAAAAACUUAAUAGUUACAACUUUCAACAACGGAUCUCUUGGUUCUGGCAUCGAUGAAGAACGCAGCGAAAUGCGAUAAGUAGUGUGAAUUGCAGAAUUCAGUGAAUCAUCGAAUCUUUGAACGCACAUUGCGCCCCUUGGUAUUCCAUGGGGCAUGCCUGUUCGAGCGUCAUUUGUACCUUCAAGCCUUGCUUGGUGUUGGGUGUUUGUCUCGCCUCUGCGCGUAGACUCGCCUCAAAACAAUUGGCAGCCGGCGUAUUGAUUUCGGAGCGCAGUACAUCUCGCGCUUUGCACUCAGAACGACGACGUCCAAAAGUACAUUUUUACACUCUUGACCUCGGAUCAGGUAGGGAUACCCGCUGAACUUAAGCAUAUCAAUAAGCGGAGGAAAAGAAACCAACAGGGAUUGCCCUAGUAACGGCGAGUGAAGCG